UUUUCUCUUGGUGAUUGAAGCAAUGGGAGUUGUUUGGGUUUUUCAUUUUUGUGUCCUGACUGUUUGGCUUGCCAAAGGUUCUUGUUGGCUAGCUACUGACACAAAAGAAAGACGGAGUAAUGGUAAGGAGAACAAAUUAACAGGUGAUGAUAUCAGUGACUAAAUCUUAAGUGAGUUACUUUCUGAUCAUCUUUUUGUGCGACAGAUCAGCUCUCCAUAAAGAAGGCCCUUGAACGUUUCCAGUUAAAGGAGAUUGCGUUGGAGAAACGUGCUGAUGAAGUACAACUGGAAACCAAUGAAGUGGAAACUCAGGCUGUAGCUCGCCGUGUGCGGCUUCAGGAGAAGCUCGAG
Molecule: long non-coding RNA, 351 nt
Organism: Labrus mixtus (cuckoo wrasse)
Lineage: Eukaryota; Metazoa; Chordata; Actinopteri; Labriformes; Labridae
Exons: 3
Source: RefSeq, a predicted model, not a curated record